UUCACCAUCUUCCUGUCAAUAUAGCAUCCAAGCUGAUUAUCAUAGAUUACAAGUCCAACUAUCAACUGUGUUCUGAGAGUCUAAAAAAAUAAAUGAACGUAUUUGUUUGGGUAUUCUUAAAGCAGGAGUGAGGACACAGCGAAAGUGAGACAAGGAAAAGAGAACAAAAUAAAACAGGAAAGAUAGAAAAGCCAAUACCACACGUGUUAAGAGGAACAAGCUCCCGUGCUGCUAGAGAAAGUCCUCAGCUAGAAACUGGUGCAAAUUCUGGAGAUGAGACCUUGUAGAGUGUUAAGAAUGGUUUUCUUCCCAGCAGCUACAGG
This 323-nucleotide long non-coding RNA is filed under the name Homo sapiens (human). RNAcentral describes it as "HSALNT0230001". Lineage: Eukaryota; Metazoa; Chordata; Mammalia; Primates; Hominidae. The record is from RNAcentral.